CACUGCAGGAAACUGUGAUGAGGGAACUCCAAGUGACUGCACAAUGUGUAGUCUUUUCUUGAAUCUUAAUAGUUCUUGGAAUAAGGGCUGGGAAAGACCGGUGCCAGCCGCCGCGGUAAUACCGGCAGCUCAAGUGGUCGUCGCUUUUAUUGGGCCUAAAACGUCCGUAGCCUGUUUGGUAAAUCUGUGGGUAAAUCAACGAGCUUAACUCGUUGAAUUCUGCAGAGACUGCCAGACUAGGGACCGGGAGAGGUAUGAGGUACUCUGGGGGUAGGGGUAAAAUCCUGUCAUCCUCAGAGGACCACCUGUUGCGAAGGCGUCAUACUGGAACGGAUCCGACGGUCAGGGACGAAGCCUAGGGGCACGAACCGGAUUAGAUACCCGGGUAGUCCUAGGUGUAAACGCUGUGGAUUUGGUGUGUGGGGUCCGCAAUGGGCCCCAUGUGCCGGAGUGAAGAUGUUAAAUCCACUGCCUGGGGAGUACGGUCGCAAGGCUGAAACUUAAAGGAAUUGGCGGGGGAGCACUGCAACCUGAGGAUUGUGCGGUUUAAUUGGAUUCAACGCCGGAAAACUCACCAAGGCCGACUGUUAGAUGAAGAUCAGCGUAAUGAGCUUAUCGGAUUUUCAGAGAGGUGGUGCAUGGCCGUCGUCAGUUCGUACUGUAAAGCGUUCUGUUAAGUCAGAUAACGAACGAGACCC
Molecule: ribosomal RNA, 698 nt
Filed under: marine metagenome
Description: bacterial SSU rRNA
Rfam family: Archaeal small subunit ribosomal RNA
Source: RNAcentral